UGGGGAAUAUUGCACAAUGGACGGAAGUCUGAUGCAGCAACGCCGCGUGCGGGAUGACGGCCUUCGGGUUGUAAACCGCUUUUUCUCAUGACGAAGUUUUUUGACGGUAGUGGGGGAAGAAGCACCGGCUAACUACGUGCCAGCAGCCGCGGUGAUACGUAGGGUGCGAGCGUUGUCCGGAAUUAUUGGGCGUAAAGAGCUUGUAGGGGUUUGUCGCGUCGAUAGUGCAAACUCAGUGCUUAACGCUGAGCCUGCUGUUGAUACGGGCAGACUAGAGGAAGGUAGGGGAGAAUGGAAUUCCCGGUGGAGCGGUGGAAUGCGCAGAUAUCGGGAGGAACACCGGUGGCGAAGGCGGUUCUCUGGGCCUUUCCUGACGCUGAGAAGCGAAAGCGUGGGGAGCGAAAAGG
RNAcentral lists this ribosomal RNA (407 nucleotides) under Fusobacteriota bacterium. RNAcentral's name for it is "Fusobacteria bacterium partial 16S ribosomal RNA". It matches the Rfam family "Bacterial small subunit ribosomal RNA", at positions 355 to 776 of the family's 1533-position model. Lineage: Bacteria; Fusobacteriati; Fusobacteriota. The record is from RNAcentral.